GACGAACGCUGGCGGCGUGCCUAAUACAUGCAAGUCGAGCGAAGUUUUUCUGGUGCUUGCACUAGAAAAACUUAGCGGCGAACGGGUGAGUAACACGUAAAGAACCUGCCUCAUAGACUGGGACAACUAUUGGAAACGAUAGCUAAUACCGGAUAACAGCAUUAACUGCAUGGUUGAUGUUUAAAAGUUGGUUAUGCUAACACUAUGAGAUGGCUUUGCGCUGCAUUAGCUAGUUGGUGGGGUAAAGGCCUACCAAGGCGACGAUGCAUAGCCGACCUGAGAGGGUGAUCGGCCACACUGGGACUGAGACACGGCCCAGACUCCUACGGGAGGCAGCAGUAGGGAAUCUUCCGCAAUGGGCGAAAGCCUGACGGAGCAACGCCGCGUGAGUGAAGAAGGAUUUCGGUUCGUAAAGCUCUGUUGUUAGGGAAGAAUGAUUGUGUAGUAACUAUACACAGUAGAGACGGUACCUAACCAGAAAGCCACGGCUAACUACGUGCCAGCAGCCGCGGUAAUACGUAGGUGGCAAGCGUUGUCCGGAAUUAUUGGGCGUAAAGCGCGCGCAGGUGGUUUAAUAAGUCUGAUGUGAAAGCCCACGGCUCAACCGUGGAGGGUCAUUGGAAACUGUUAAACUUGAGUGCAGGAGAGAAAAGUGGAAUUCCUAGUGUAGCGGUGAAAUGCGUAGAGAUUAGGAGGAACACCAGUGGCGAAGGCGGCUUUUUGGCCUGUAACUGACACUGAGGCGCGAAAGCGUGGGGAGCAAACAGG
This 768-nucleotide ribosomal RNA is filed under the name uncultured bacterium. RNAcentral's name for it is "bacterial SSU rRNA". It matches the Rfam family "Bacterial small subunit ribosomal RNA", at positions 28 to 776 of the family's 1533-position model. The record is from RNAcentral.